GGAAGUACUACCUAAAUUGAGUGGAUUGCUGAAGGUCACAAACUUAACAUAUGAGUUUGACAACAAAAUGGUUCUAGCAACAAAACCACAAUAAAAAAGUAAGACUAAAACUAUUUUUAUAUCAUAAAGGCAAAAUUUACAGGCAGAAUAUAAGGACCACAUUAUUUAAAAAAAUAAUGAAAAUUGCACACACCAGAUAAUAAGAAGACAUCUAUCUCCAAAUAUUAUCCACAAGAAAACUACAACAAUGUAAUGAAGCAAACUGCGGACUCACGAAGGCACAAAAAUUAGAAAUUUACUCCAUCAGCCUAGUAUUCAUUCAUCAUGUGAAAUAAUUGAAAUCUGCUCUAGUGGAAGUAUAUUUUAGCUUGUCAGUUAAACAGCUGCAAAGAUGAUCAACAUUCACAGGCAUCCAUUCGAUUGUGGGACUGCUGGUAUGGUUUACCACAAAAGCAUUCUUAAAAAAUUAAAUAAAAGAUCAAAAUAAUUAACAAAAAGCUAACACCUAUGAGCUUAGUAAUAACUACUAUUAAGAUAUAAAAGAAUCAAAAUUUUACGAUCCCUCGUGUUCCUUUACGAAUCUCUCAUUUAGUUAAUGCUAAUAACCUACUCCAAUAAUUGGAGUAUUUACUUGGCAAUCCUUUGAAAUUUCUUCAUUUUGGUGAAAACCGAAGAGGAAACCACCAUCAAAAGUCCAUGAAAGACAAUGUGGUUGGACAAAAAUGAUAAUUACUUUACAGGA
RNAcentral lists this unclassified non-coding RNA (742 nucleotides) under Hevea brasiliensis (rubber tree). The record is from RNAcentral. Lineage: Eukaryota; Viridiplantae; Streptophyta; Magnoliopsida; Malpighiales; Euphorbiaceae.